RNAcentral lists this ribosomal RNA (416 nucleotides) under uncultured bacterium. RNAcentral's name for it is "bacterial SSU rRNA". It matches the Rfam family "Bacterial small subunit ribosomal RNA", at positions 358 to 771 of the family's 1533-position model. The record is from RNAcentral.
GGAAUAUUGGACAAUGGGAGCAAUCCUGAUCCAGCCAUGCCGCGUGCAGGAAGACUGCCCUAUGGGUUGUAAACUGCUUUUAUACAGGCAGAAACAGGUGUACGAUUACACUGUUGACGGUACUGUAAGAAUAAGGAUCGGCUAACUCCGUGCCAGCAGCCGCGGUAAUACGGAGGAUUCAAGCGUUAUCCGGAAUCAUUGGGUUUAAAGGGUCCGUAGGCGGGAUAAUAAGUCAGUGGUGAAAGUCUGCAGCUCAACUGUAGAAUUGCCAUUGAUACUGUUGUUCUUGAGUUAUUGUGAAGUGGUUAGAAUGAGUAGUGUAGCGGUGAAAUGCAUAGAUAUUACUCAGAAUACCGAUUGCGAAGGCAGAUCACUAACAAUACACUGACGCUGAUGGACGAAAGCGUAGGUAGCGA